Molecule: long non-coding RNA, 970 nt
Organism: Dicentrarchus labrax (European seabass)
Lineage: Eukaryota; Metazoa; Chordata; Actinopteri; Moronidae
Exons: 4
Source: RefSeq, a predicted model, not a curated record
CACUCAUUUUGAGGAGUGUAGACAACUUGGCCUGUCUGCAAAGGAGCUCCUCAAACAGCAGCAUAGGUUGGUAGAAAAGGAUGGAAUUAUCUGAAGAAGGACCUCUCUGAUCCAAUGGCAACCUGCCAGCUGCCACUGCCAGGGGCAUCCAGAAGGAGGUCUUUACCAGGGUCCUUUCCACCAGCUUUGUGGCCUGUAUGGGAUUCAGAAAACCCACACUACUUCAUACCACCCCAGAGAAAAAGACUAGUAUGAACGAUUCGGACACCCCAUGGCGUUCUGCGAGUACGUCCAUAUGGCCCCCAUCAAUCUUUCCCUAUAACAGCCCUUCACACUAAUCCACUGCACACUCACUGGAUUGUUGGUGACUGAUGACAGAGUGAUGAAUAGCUCUUCCAGCCUGACGUGGGAGCUGAUUUACUGACUCGUGACUGUUAAGGCCAAAACCUGAUCCAGGAAGGGGGGUGGUCCUGUUCAAGCCGGGGGCCUAAUAUGCCGAGUAACCACUCCUUCUAUUGCACGGUUGAGUGUUGUUUGCUGUGUUUGCACCUUGCACUUUAUCUUUAGUUUUGUGUGUUUGUGUGUAUAUUCUGUAAUUUCACCAACCUUUUGCGUUUGCGAAGAGUGGGUCUUCCUCUUACAUUUUCCUGGUAGACAGUGAACCUGCCCCUGAAUGGGAGUUCUUACUUUAAUAGUGCCCCUUUUUGUAUUUUUGGCUGUAGCUCAUCCUGACAUUGUUUUAUAUGGUUUAUAUUGUCAUUAACACAAUUGUUCCCAUACCUUGUUAUUCGUAAUGUUAAUGUUUAAGUUUUCUUGGUAUAUGUAAUAAAUAUAAUUGUUCUUAACCUUGGAAGUCUCUGCUAUCUCUUUCAUGUUGUAUGAAUGAGUUGGUUAAAUCUUCAUCCCCUGGUCAGUGUUAUCUGUGAGUGCUAGAUCUGCUGGAGCCAGGGUAGAUGGCCCCCCUUCCUUU